This is a long non-coding RNA of Homo sapiens (human), 2227 nucleotides long. Lineage: Eukaryota; Metazoa; Chordata; Mammalia; Primates; Hominidae. The record is from Ensembl.
CACAGAAGGGGUUUUUUAUGUGAACUUAGAGUGACUGGCUACUCUGCUCAUCCAACAGCCCAUCCACCCAUCCUGUUCAUCCAUGCAUUCAUCCAUCCAUCUGUCCAUCCAUCAGUCCAAUCCAUUCAUCCAUCACUAAUCCAUCCAUCCCUCCACCUACCCAUCCAUUCAUCCAUGCAUUCAUCCAUCCAUCCACCCAUUCAUCCAUCACUCAUCCAUCCAUCCCUCCAUCCACCCAUCCAUUCAUCCAUCCAUUCAUCUUUCUCUCCAUCUGUUCAUCUCUCCACGCAUCCAUCCCUCCAUCCAUCCAUUCAUCUUUCUCUCCAUCUGUUCAUCUCUCCACGCAUCCAUCCAUCCAUCCAUCCAUUUGUCCAUCCCUCCAUCUGCCCAUCCAUCUGUCAAACCAUGCAUCAAUAAAUAUUCAGAGCAUCUGCUAUGUGCCAGGCAUGGCUCUAGACACUGGACUCAGCAGGGAACAAAGGCCUCUAGCCUCAUGGAGUGAGGUCCCCACUCACACGUGAGUGGAGACACAGGCACCGAGCAGACACCCAGCUGGCCUGAGAGCAGCAGGCCCUACUGAGGAAAGACAGCUCCGGGGAAGGGGCUGCAGGGCAGAGUGUGGGCAUCAGCUCAGCAUGGUGGGGGCAGCCUGAAGAGGACCGUUGGGCAGGGACCCAAGACCAUCAGGGAGGAGGGUGCCAGGAGGAAACAGCAAGCGUGAAGGCCCUGUGGUAGAGACUCCACGCACGCUGUACCUUCUUUUCCCAGUUAGCACGUCCAAGGAUCUGUCAACUAGAGCAGUAGGACAACUGGCCUGGGGCAGUCCCAUCCCGCAGCACGGGUGUUGGGAAGGCAGCCCCUCCAUACUCGCCAUGAACAGGCCUUUGGCUCUCCUCCGGCUGCCGACGAAGAAUCGAGCUCCUUUCACUGACAGGGUGGCUGGGAAGGGCACAUCGGCCAUUCUGAAAAUAUCAAAGGACUGUGUUAGGGCCAUAGGAGAGUGGUCACCCCAGUUUACUCACAGAAGGAACAGGAACAAGCCCCUCACUAAGCAGCGUGCAUCUGUGCUGUGGCUGCCACACAAAGGAUGGCACACAGGGCUGAUCGCCUGCACAGCUCUGGAGCCCAGUAGCCUGGAUCAGGCUGGGGCAGGGUUUCUCCGAAGGCUCCAGAGGAGGACGCUUCCUCGACUCAUCAGCUUCUGGUGGCUGCACGUGCUCCCCGUGACCUGUGGCCAUGUCGCUCCAGUGUCCGACUCUCCCAGUAUCUGUCUCCUGGUAAGGAUCCUAGUCACACUGGAGCAGGGCCCGCCUCACUCCAGGAUGAUCUCAGCUUGACUUGAUGACUGCAAAGACUCUGUUUCCAGGUGAACGUUUGUCCAGGCCUCAGGCGCUGCCGCCACGUCAUUCCUAGCUGCUGUGGCAAAGCCAGAAGUCAGGCAGCAUUCACGUCCAGCCAGGACUUUCUUUACGGGGUGGGAAGCUGCUGCUAGGUCAGGUUGUCUUCAGCCUGCACAGCACGUCCCUGGGAGGCUUCCAGCUCUCAGGACCUGAGAACUCAUCACCGUCCUGAGGGCCCUAAAGAGUUUGGGGUAUGGUGGGAGAGAGGCUCUGAUAAAAGUGUGUUUAAGCUAAGUGCAUAAUAAAAAUAUUUAUGCGAUAAGUUUCAUAACAAAACAGAAGAUCCUACCUUUGAAAGUAAUAUUCGAAAUAAUUUAAUAUUUAAUAGAUUUAAUAUAAACUGGAUCAUUUGCAAUUAAAAAGACAGAAGCGCAGCCCUGCUCCACAGUGGUAGAUCCUGACAUGGGUAACCAACUGGCCGAGCUAGGGGACUGAGGACUCCUGUCCAGGGGACCUACCGUCAGGCCACAAACCAGGCGACGGCAAAAACGAGAAACGAACUCGGCUUCCAAAAGCCCCCAUUGUGUCCAAGGCUACAAAGGAUAAUCUUGUACUCAUUUGGAGUUUCUGUCAACAUCUGCUCCCUCGUCCACGAGGAACCUGCCAUGUGGAGUCACGGAGCCAGGCCUCGGCCUCCAGCCUGGAGGUUGGGGAAGGAGUUACUCUGACUUCCCGCUGCUGCCUGUUGUGAUGUUAGCGCCCUCCCCACAGUGCCGGUCCCCUGCCAAGUCCCCUGAGCUACUUCUGGAAAAGGAGUGCGCUUGGUGUGAUCGCCCUUACCUUGUUCUAAGCCACUGACUCUGAUGUGCAGCGGGUUUUGUGUUUAA